Molecule: ribosomal RNA, 411 nt
Filed under: uncultured bacterium
Lineage: Bacteria
Description: bacterial SSU rRNA
Rfam family: Bacterial small subunit ribosomal RNA
Source: RNAcentral
GAACGAGAAAGUGGAGCAAUCCAUGAGUAAAGUGGCGCACGGGUGAGUAACACGUGACUAACCUACCCUUGAGUGGGGGAUAACUGAGGGAAACCUUAGCUAAUACCGCAUAAUACCUACGGGUCAAAGGAGCAAUUCGCUCGAGGAGGGGGUCGCGGCCGAUUAGUUAGUUGGCGGGGUAAUGGCCCACCAAGACUAUGAUCGGUAUCCGGCCUGAGAGGGCGCACGGACACACUGGAACUGAAACACGGUCCAGACUCCUACGGGAGGCAGCAGUGGGGAAUUUUGCGCAAUGGGGGAAACCCUGACGCAGCAACGCCGCGUGGAGGAUGAAGUCCUUCGGGACGUAAACUCCUUUCGAUCGGGACGAUUAUGACGGUACCGGAAGAAGAAGCCCCGGCUAACUUCGUG